UACGUAGGUGGCAAGCGUUGUCCGGAUUUACUGGGCGUAAAGAGCGCGCAGGCGGUCGGAUAAGUCGCAUGUGAAAGCCCCCGGCUCAACUGGGGAGGGUCAUUCGAUACUGUUCGACUCGAAGGCAGGAGAGGGAAGUGGAAUUCCCGGUGUAGUGGUGAAAUGCGUAGAUAUCGGGAGGAACACCAGUGGCGAAGGCGACUUCCUGGCCUGUUCUUGACGCUGAGGCGCGAAAGCUAGGGGAGCAAACGGG
This 253-nucleotide ribosomal RNA is filed under the name uncultured bacterium. RNAcentral describes it as "partial 16S ribosomal RNA". It matches the Rfam family "Bacterial small subunit ribosomal RNA", at positions 524 to 776 of the family's 1533-position model. The record is from RNAcentral.